Molecule: ribosomal RNA, 279 nt
Filed under: uncultured Staphylococcus sp.
Lineage: Bacteria; Bacillati; Bacillota; Bacilli; Caryophanales; Staphylococcaceae
Description: partial 16S ribosomal RNA
Rfam family: Bacterial small subunit ribosomal RNA
Source: RNAcentral
CCUUUGACGUUAGCGGCGGACGGGUGAGUAACACGUGGGUAACCUACCUAUAAGACUGGGAUAACUUCGGGAAACCGGAGCUAAUACCGGAUAAUAUUUCGAACCGCAUGGUUCGAUAGUGAAAGAUGGUUUUGCUAUCACUUAUAGAUGGACCCGCGCCGUAUUAGCUAGUUGGUAAGGUAACGGCUUACCAAGGCGACGAUACGUAGCCGACCUGAGAGGGUGAUCGGCCACACUGGAACUGAGACACGGUCCAGACUCCUACGGAGGCAGCAGACC